CAGAACAUUUUGGGCAAGUGGCUGUCAUGGUUUAAGUGGCUGAACCUAGGACAGUGGCUCUUUGUAUUUCGGAUUUCUCAAGCUUCAGAGAAAAUGAACCUGGAGAACAGGUUUUAAUUUUGUAUCCAUAGAGAUUUAGGCUAUUAAGGAUAAUUAAGAGCAUUAGAGUUAAUUCAUUUGUUGAAUUCAUAGGAUUUGGAGACCCUAAACUCUCCAAAAUACAGGUCCUAAAUUACCAGGGGAGGGGGAGUUCUGUUGAUGUGAACUGCUGGGGGUGUGACACCCCUCUUCGAGCACUUCCAGGCAGAUUUGGCUCCUCCUGGGCAUUGUACAGGCUUAUAUCAUUCAGAGAACUGCUCUAAGACAUUCUCAGAAACUGUUACCCCCAAAUCAGAAUGGAAAAGAACACCAAAUCA
Long non-coding RNA from Neopsephotus bourkii (Bourke's parrot), 416 nucleotides. RefSeq lists it as uncharacterized. The record is from RefSeq and is a predicted model, not a curated record. NCBI's taxonomy places the organism in Eukaryota, Metazoa, Chordata, Aves, Psittaciformes, Psittacidae. The transcript is spliced from 3 exons.